UACAGAGACCUCGAGCGUUAUCCGGAAUUACUGGGCGUAAAGGGUGCGUAGGCGGCACUGUUAGUCGCGGGUCAAAUCCUCAGGCUCAACCUGAGACCCGCCCGCGAAACGGCAGAGCUGGAGGGCAGGAGAGGUGUAUGGAACCCAUGGUGUAGGGGUGAAAUCCGUUGAUAUCAUGGGGAACACCAAAUGCGAAGGCAAUACACUGGCCUGUUCCUGACGCUGAUGCACGAAACCUUGGGUAGCGAAAGGG
RNAcentral lists this unclassified non-coding RNA (253 nucleotides) under uncultured Parcubacteria group bacterium. RNAcentral describes it as "contains 16S-23S intergenic spacer region". It matches the Rfam family "Bacterial small subunit ribosomal RNA", at positions 524 to 776 of the family's 1533-position model. The record is from RNAcentral.